RNAcentral lists this ribosomal RNA (407 nucleotides) under uncultured soil bacterium. RNAcentral's name for it is "bacterial SSU rRNA". It matches the Rfam family "Bacterial small subunit ribosomal RNA", at positions 26 to 463 of the family's 1533-position model. The record is from RNAcentral.
AGAACGAACGCUGGCGGCAUGCCUAACACAUGCAGGUCGAACGAAGCCUUCGGGCUUAGUGGCGCACGGGUGCGUAACACGUGGGAAUCUGCCCUUAGGUACGGAAUAACUCAGGGAAACUUGAGCUAAUACCGUAUGAUGUCUUCGGACCAAAGAUUUAUCGCCUAAGGAUGAGCCCGCGUCGGAUUAGCUAGUUGGUGGGUAAAGGCCUACCAAGGCGACGAUCCGUAGCUGGUCUGAGAGGAUGAUCAGCCACACUGGGACUGAGACACGGCCCAGACUCCUACGGGAGGCAGCAGUGGGGAAUAUUGGACAAUGGGCGAAAGCCUGAUCCAGCAAUGCCGCGUGAGUGAAGAAGGCCUUCGGGUUGUAAAGCUCUUUGUCAGGGAAGAAACGGUGGGAGCUAA